RNAcentral lists this long non-coding RNA (499 nucleotides) under Elaeis guineensis (African oil palm). Its description in RNAcentral is "long non-coding RNA (EGUI_LNC076223)". Lineage: Eukaryota; Viridiplantae; Streptophyta; Magnoliopsida; Arecales; Arecaceae. The record is from RNAcentral.
UGACAAAAAGGCCGCUCCCCCAUGGUUUAAUAGAUAGAACUGAAUAUAAUGGUGUGGACCGAGUGAAUGAGACUGCCGUUGCUUCUAAUACAUGAUGGCAUUUAAAAAGAGUUUGCGAAAUUGAUUGGUACUGUGGCUGGCGCCUGAGAAAGCUGAACCGAAGGCAGAAAAGUUAAUGAUGUGUUGGGAAGACCUUUUUUUUCUUGGUACGAGUCGGGAAGACCUUUCGCCGGCGGGGGGUGUGUUGUGGGGUGUGUGAGAGAGCUCCGGCUACCUCCUACACCGAAGAAAGCGGAAUAAAGCGGAAAGCCAACGUUAUUACAUUCGAAAGGCGGUGGCCUUUUUUUUUUUUUGGGUUACAGCAAGCCCAUUGCUCUACAACCACCACCAACAAAUAAAAAUAAUAAAAAAAAAACCUCGUAAGUUGAGCUUGGAUGGGAUUUAGAGUCGAGGCAUUCUGGAUUGUCUUGACCAAAGACCUUGUAGCUAGAGUUGGGAU